GACGAACGCUGGCGGCGUGCUUAACACAUGCAAGUCGAACGGAAAGGCCCUGCUUUUGUGGGGUGCUCGAGUGGCGAACGGGUGAGUAACACGUGAGUAACCUGCCCUUGACUUUGGGAUAACUUCAGGAAACUGGGGCUAAUACCGGAUAGGAGCUCCUGCUGCAUGUGGGGGGUUGGAAAGUUUCGGCGGUUGGGGAUGGACUCGCGGCUUAUCCGCUUGUUAGUGGGGUAGUGGCUUACCAAGGCUUUGACGGGUAGCCGGCCUAAGAGGGUGACCGGCCACAUUGGGACUGAGAGACGGCCCAGACUCCUACGGGAGGCAGCAGUGGGGAAUAUUGCACAAUGGGCGGAAGCCUGAUGCAGCAACGCCGCGUGCGGGAUGACGGCCUUCGGGUUGUAAACCGCUUUCGACUGAGACGAAGCGUGAGUGACGGUAAUGGGUAAAGAAGCACCGGCUAACUACGUG
This 468-nucleotide ribosomal RNA is filed under the name uncultured bacterium. Its description in RNAcentral is "partial 16S ribosomal RNA". It matches the Rfam family "Bacterial small subunit ribosomal RNA", at positions 28 to 507 of the family's 1533-position model. The record is from RNAcentral.